CCCCAGAGGGAACAGGUUUUUUGAUUUGUACUAAAAUCAUGGUCAUGUUGUCGCAUCCUUCACCUCCAGCUGUCGGUGCCAAACACCUAUCAAGAACUCUCUCACAUACUGCAGAAAGUUUGCUUUCCGACUUGAGCUGCUCAUGUAUAAAGUCCACUAACUGCUGGCUCGACAUGCAGUCCCAUACACCAUCACAAGCUAGGACGAUAAAAUCAUCAUCAUCGCACAGAUCAACAGUAUUUAUAUCUGGAUCAGCCGUAACAAUUUGCUUCUCAGCUGGCAGAAACUUAUUCUGCUUGAAUUCCAUGUCGCCUAUAGCUCUUGCAAGAUUUAAGCUGCCAUUAACACGCCCUGCGUGGAUAAAACCACCUGCUUUCAAAAUUCUCUCUCGUUCAAUCUCAAGAUCAGGCUUGUGAUCCCUCGAUAGAUUAUAUGCCUGGCUUUUCCGUGAAAUCACACAGCGAGAAUCACCAGCAUUCGCAACAAUGAGUCGGUUCUCUCUAAUGAUCGCAACACAAGACGUACAUCCAGAAGUUGGUCCAGGAAAAUCAGAGUGAGGACCCUCCUCAAACGCCCAGUCAUCAGUAUUUCCGUUUCCAUCACCAUUUCUUGGAGACCAUAUAAGACCCUCUAUCAUACCCGAAAACUUGUUUAAUCUAUCCCCUAGUGCAGCCAGCUCCCUCCAUCCUC
Molecule: unclassified non-coding RNA, 690 nt
Filed under: Hevea brasiliensis (rubber tree)
Lineage: Eukaryota; Viridiplantae; Streptophyta; Magnoliopsida; Malpighiales; Euphorbiaceae
Source: RNAcentral